UUAAAAUUUGACUAUUAAACCACACGGCUUAAAAGAAUGUCCACAUGGAAAAAAAAAAAAAAAAGAGGGUACUUGCACUAUAUAUAUAUUUGAAAUUUGGGAAAACUAUUAAACCACACUGUUUAAUAAUGUAAUGACAUUAACUAUUAAACCGUAUAGUUUAAUAGUUUUUGCGGACUUUAACAAAGUCUAGGAUCCUGAACCACUCUCUACACACACACGUAUUCAUUUCAAUUAAUUAUUAGAAUUAAUUUAAGUUGAAAGACAAACUUUUUUUAGGAAAUUAACAAAAUUAUCCCAAAAAUUUUAGGGUUUUUUAAAAUUAGCCAGUUAAUUUUUUUAUACCAUAUGUAGUCAAUUUCAACAUUUUUGGACAACAAUACCCUUGUCACUCCAAAACCUAAAAAACUAAACAUUCUCUUCACUCCUAAAUUCAGCAGCACGGUCUUGACCUUUCCAGCAACAAUUGAUGACAGUUGGACGAGCAUUUGACAAAAGCUUCAUCUUUGGCAUCAUGUAGUUGUAUUUCUGGCACUUAGACGACAGUUGGACGAGCAAUUGAUGGCAAUUUCAUCUCCAAAAGCAAGUUUUUUUUUUUUGUUUCAUUACGAUCGAACAAUCUUUUGAAUGUAAUUAAGUGUAUAUUUCAUGAUAGAUGAGUAUUAGAGUUAAUUUUCUAUGAAUUUUGGAAAGUAUUUAAUGAGAUUAUGAUUUGAGAAAAAUCGCACAUGAGGUGUUUGCUGCAAUGUCCAUUAGAUUUUGUUAUGUCAUUUUUUAUAGAUUAUGUUGUGGGCUUAUUGUGGCUCAGUGUGAAUCCAUGUUCCGCAUAGGGAUGGUAAUGGGGCAGACAUGAGUUGGAUCUACUCUGCUUCAAAUCCAGAUUCAUAAUAAAAAUUAAGAUCCGUAUCUGCUCCAGAUCCGUCAUAAAUCCAUAUUUUUCGCUUUAUAUCCAGAUCCAAAAAAGAAAUAAAUAUCUAUAUUUGCUCCAAAUCCGAAAAAAAAAUAAAAUCCGAAUAUACUCUAGAUCCGUCAUGAAUUCUAAAACUCAGCAAUAAAAAAGUAAUAAUUUUUUUGAAUGAAAAUUGAAGGUUAAAAUGUUUUGAUAACAAAUAAAUUAUAUAAUUUAUCUCAAAAUAUAAUAAAUAUUGUAGUUUAUACUUUUACACCAAAACAACAAAUAAGAAAGAUAAUAAAAUAUUCUUUAAAAGUAAUUGCAGGAGUAAGAUCAAUAUUAUAUUCUAUUAUUUCCUUCAUCAUUCUAAUAUCCACACACACCCACCCUUAUUCUUACAAUAUUAUAUAAUGACAUAUAAAUAAAAUAUUAUUUAUAUUCAGUGUUUUAUUAUGGCCAUAUUUGACUAAAUAUAUGAAUAACUAUAUUCUUUAAAAAUUAUUUGGCCAAUAUAGUAAAAUAAAUUGCCAAAUUAUAUUACUUGGCUUGCAAUUUGAAUAUUGCAUGUACAUAGUUUGGGGCUGACUGACCUUUAAAUUUACAAAACUAACCUUUAAGUUUUAAGAGUUUAAAUGCAUGAUAAAUACCACUAAUAUGCUAUGAAUAAAAUUUAUUAUCAUUAUAAUUCUACAAUUGUUAUGAAACUUUUAAAAUUAAAUUAAAUUAAAUUAAAAGAUGGGUGUGUGGAUAUGGAUAUGGAUUUAGAUAUUAUGAUAUAUCCAGACCUGCCCCAGAUCCGUCUUAGAUCCACACAUCAAUAUCCAAAUCCAAUCCAAAUUCAUUUUAAACCGACCAAAAUCUGAUCCGAUUGGAUUUGGAUCACCUGGAUCUUGGAUUGCCAUCCCUAGUUCCGUAAAGCAUAGCAAUGAAUUUUUGUGCGACGGGUGUUGCUUUGAUUUAGUGUGUCAGGCACCUGUCGCCUGGGAGAUAAGUGUAUGUCUCUCAAAAUCAUAGCAACUUGCUUGCUAUGAUUGCUAUGAUUUUGAGUGAUGGGCGUUGUCACCCUAAAGAUAGGUUGCUUGUCACUUAAAAUCAUAUUAAUAUACUUGCUGUGAUUUCGUGGGACAUGCUUUUAUCCCUCAGGAGACAGGUGUUUGUCGCUUAAAAUCAUAUUAACACACUUGUUGUGAUUUCAAGUGACAGACACUUGUCACUCAAAAUCACAACAAGCUUGUUGCUGUGAUUUCGUGCAUAGGGCACCUGUUGCACUAAAUCAAAGCAACACCCAUCACACUAAAAUCAAUUUUUUUGCUUUACCGAACACAUAUUGGCACCAUCCACAAUCAACCCAUAACACAAUCUAUCAAAAAUGAGAUAACAAAGUCUAAUAGGCAUUUCAACAAACAUCUCAUAUGUCAUUUUUCUCAAAUCAUAAUCUCAUUAAAUACUUUUAAAAUUCGUAGAAAAUUAACCCUAAUACUCAUCUAUCAUAAAAUAUACAUUUAAUUACAUUUAAAUGACGGUCCAAUCUUAAUGAACAAAAAAAAGGAACUUGCUUUGGGAGAUGAAGCUACCGUUAAUCGCCUGUCCAAUCACCGACAAAAUGUCAUAAAUAAAGUUGCGUGAUGCUGGAGAUGAAUCUGCCGUCAAACGCCUGUCCAACUAUUGUUGAUUUUUGCCGAAAAAGUCAAGACCAUGCUGCUGGAUUUAGGAGAGAAGAGAAGGUUCAAUUUUUUAGGUUUUGGAAUGACAAGGGUAUUGUUAUCCAAAAAUGUUGAAAUUGGCUACAUAGGGUAGAAAAAGUUCAACUAGCUAAUUCUAAAAUAUCCUAAAAUUUUGGGGUUAUUUUUGUAAAUUUCCUACUUUUUUUGUUGGGUGUAUGCGACGCUCAAAGUCAAAUCCACUUGGAUGAAUCUCAACCCAAAAUGUUUUGGGCCAAUGCCCAACUAUAGCCCAUGUUGUGAAGCAAAGUCUUACAAGAACAUGUCUUUACCCCUUUCCUUUUCCUUUUUCUUUCUUUCUUUUUUCAUAUCUUUUGACUAAAACAAGAGUCUCUCUCUCCGAUUCCAUAGCCCCAAGCGAAAUGAUACAACUCUUUGAAUUAUUGAAAAAGAUUAUUUUUUUUUUUAUGCUUAUGGAGUUAUUUUUCAGUUAAGUACAAUUAUUUGGGGACACCUAUUCCCAACUCUGGUGGUUAAUACCUCCAUUUUUCUUUGGAGAAGAUUCUUGAAUUGGGUUUCGAAUAGACUAUAUCAAUUAUUGACGACAGUUCAUCAUGAUAUUACUAGAAUUAUAUUGUAAUAUUCAAAAGUACAACCGUUAGGGCAUUGGAAUAUCAUGUAGAAAACAGAAACAAUUAAGCUUUAAAAGUUGACGAGGGACAAAUGCAAUCAUACAUAUUAACGAAUAGCUAUAUAUAUUACACAUCCUCAAACUCAUUUAUUCAGUACUCUAGUAAACGAGGCCUUACCAAUCAUGUUUCAUAUUCAUGAAUCAUAGUGUGUACAAUUUCUGAAUUAAGAUGCAAAUUUCGUAUUGUCUUCGAACUAAUACGACGCAUACAAGUGAUUUUUGUAUAAUUCAGCAUAUAUAAGUAUAACAAUAUUGUCAACCUAUCUUUUAUCAUGUAAAGACUCAAAUCUCAAUGAGCUGGAGAAGUUGCCAUUGAUUUUUUCAGUGAAAUGGCUCUUUUUGAACGUAAAUAUAAGUAAGAAAUAAUAAACUCAUCGUCUUAAUGUAAAAAAAUGCACAUUCUUCAACAGCUCAUUGAUAUAUGCAAACGGUUAAAAAGUGAGAUUAAUUGACAACGCAGCAUAUGAGUAAUUCAGAAAAGGCGAAAGUGGAGUUGGAGGGUGGGCAUAAAUGAAUUGGGUCCCAAGUGCCCCAAAUCAAGGGGUACAAAAACAAACGACGAAUUCCCAUUUGUUGUCGUGACCAAAAGAGUAGGAAACAAAGUUGAUUUGUCAUUGAGGGGCAUGUGAACCUGCACAUAAUAUUUUAAAAAAAAUAAUAAAGAGCAAAGCCAUGUGGAUCCAUGCUUUAACGUUAUUCCCAUGCAUCAACAUGUGAAUAUUGGCUCCAAAAUUUGUAAGCCACAAUAAUAUUAUGAGGAAGAAAAAAAAAACAAUAAUGAUACUAACCCUACCACCUUCUUCUUCUUCUUCUUCUUCUUCGUGCUCUUAUUGCAGAUUUUACAGGGCAAUGCACGAUGAUUUUCUUUUCCUUUCCAUUGUGGGGACCUAUUUGCAUGCACGCGAGCAUUGCGAUAUUGGGCUGAAAAUGCUUGUCUAAAUCGAGUGGUCAAACGAUGUUACGUUCCACCGUCCAUGCUUCUAACGUAAUCUCCAAUACUAUUUCAUGUCUCCAUCUUUCUUCAGUCAAAAAGAGGAUAUUGACUCAUAAUUCAUCAACAGUUGCUUCCACUCCAAUUUUCACUCCCCAUCUAAGAAAUUUUUAGGGUGAUUUUUAGUGUACAUUCUCUCUCUCUCUCUCUCUCUCUCUUUUUAUCAUGUGUAUUUGUUUGCGGAUAAAAUGUGGUGUGUUUUGAGUUCUUCUGUAUGUACUAUAAAAAUUAUUUUUUCUUUCAUUAGGUUCAAUCCAUUGCAGGCCUAGAUAUCACAGAACUGAUUUAAUUUUUGAUUGACUUCUGAUUAUAAAUGCAAGCAGAUUAUAAUAUAAUUAAAAAGAAAAAGAGAGGAGCUAUAAAUUAUCCCAUUCUUACUGUUAAAAUUAGAUGCUUUUGUUUUGUGCUACACAGUUGCUUUCAAAUUCCGAAAAAGCAGAAGAAAGAAAGAUUGGAUUAGGCAUCAAAUAAAAAAAAAAAAAAAAAAAAAAAAAAAAAAAAAAAAAAAAAAAAAAAAAAAAAAAAAAAAAAAAAAAAAAAAAAAAAAAAAAAAAAAAAAAAAAAAAAAAAAAAAAAAAAAAAAAAAAAAAAAAAAAAAAAAAAAAAAAAAAAAAAAA
This 4852-nucleotide long non-coding RNA is filed under the name Citrus sinensis (sweet orange). Its description in RNAcentral is "long non-coding RNA (CSIN_LNC003339)". The record is from RNAcentral. Lineage: Eukaryota; Viridiplantae; Streptophyta; Magnoliopsida; Sapindales; Rutaceae.